AGUGAACGCUGGCGGUAGGCCUAACACAUGCAAGUCGAACGGCAGCACAGUAAGAGCUUGCUCUUACGGGUGGCGAGUGGCGGACGGGUGAGGAAUACAUCGGAAUCUACUUUUUCGUGGGGGAUAACGUAGGGAAACUUACGCUAAUACCGCAUACGACCUACGGGUGAAAGCAGGGGAUCUUCGGACCUCGCGCGAUUGAAUGAGCCGAUGUCGGUUUAGCUGGUUGGCGGGGUAAAGGCCCACCAAGGCGACGAUCCGUAGCUGGUCUGAGAGGAUGAUCAGCCACACUGGAACUGAGACACGGUCCAGACUCCUACGGGAGGCAGCAGUGGGGAAUAUUGGGCUAUGGGCGCAAGCCUGACCCAGCCAUACCGCGUGGGUGAAGAAGGCCUUCGGAUUGUAAAGCCCUUUUGUUGGGAAUGAAAAGCAGCAGGUUAAUACCCCGCUGUUCUGACGGUACCCAAAGAAUAAGCACCGGCUAACUUCGUG
RNAcentral lists this ribosomal RNA (492 nucleotides) under uncultured bacterium. RNAcentral's name for it is "partial 16S ribosomal RNA". It matches the Rfam family "Bacterial small subunit ribosomal RNA", at positions 29 to 507 of the family's 1533-position model. The record is from RNAcentral.